GCGGGUAUAGCUUAAUGGUAAAGCCCCUGCCUUCCAAGCAGGUGAUGUCGGUUCGAUUCCGUCUACCCGCU
Transfer RNA from Rhodovulum sp. ES.010, 71 nucleotides. It matches the Rfam family "tRNA". Rfam says of the family: Transfer RNA (tRNA) molecules are approximately 80 nucleotides in length. Their secondary structure includes four short double-helical elements and three loops (D, anti-codon, and T loops). The record is from Rfam. NCBI's taxonomy places the organism in Bacteria, Pseudomonadati, Pseudomonadota, Alphaproteobacteria, Rhodobacterales, Paracoccaceae.